Molecule: ribosomal RNA, 508 nt
Filed under: uncultured bacterium
Lineage: Bacteria
Description: bacterial SSU rRNA
Rfam family: Bacterial small subunit ribosomal RNA
Source: RNAcentral
CGUACGACGAGUUUGAUCAUGGCUCAGAUUGAACGCUGGCGGCAGGCCUAACACAUGCAAGUCGAGCGAGAAAGGUCUUCGGACUGAGUACAGCGGCGGACGGGUGAGUAAAGCGUAGGAAUCUACCUGGUAGUGGGGGAUAACUUGGGGAAACUCAAACUAAUACCGCAUACGCCCUACGGGGGAAAGCGGGGGACCUUCGGGCCUCGCGCUAUCAGAUGAGCCUGCGUAGGAUUAGCUAGUUGGUGAGGUAAAGGCUCACCAAGGCGACGAUCCUUAGCUGGUCUGAGAGGAUGAUCAGCCACACUGGGAUUGAGACACGGCCCAGACUCCUACGGGAGGCAGCAGUGGGGAAUAUUGCGCAAUGGGCGAAAGCCUGACGCAGCCAUGCCGCGUGUGUGAAGAAGGCCUUAGGGUUGUAAAGCACUUUCAAUUGGGAAGAAAAGUUGGUCGUUAAUAGCGGCCAGCCCUGACAUUACCUUUAGAAGAAGGACCGGCUAACUCCGUG